UAUGCAAAUUCGAUUUCUUUUAUAAGAGCCAAAUAACCAAAUGCAAACAUUCAGUGUAUGCUGAAUGUUUACAUUUGAUUAUUUAAUUCUUUUGCAGAAGUUAACUGCUUGUUUUAAUAUUUCUUUUUUUUUUACAGAUCAUCAGGAAGGAAAUGGCAACGGCAGUUUGAUGGUCAGACUGGACAUUCGUGAAAAGCAAAAUCGACGAGGAUUUUCGUGAGUUCUGAUGAUUGAAUGCUGCCGAGGAAAAAGUGCAAAUUGACGAAGAUUUUCGUGAGUUCUUAUGAUUGAAUGCUGCCGAGGAAAAAGUGCAAAUUGACGAAGAUUUUCGUGAGUUCUUAUGAUUGAAUGCUGCCGAGGAAAAAGUGCAAAUUGACGAAGAUUUUUGUGAGUUCAGAUGAUUGAAUGCUGCCGAGGAAAAAGUGCAAAUUGACGAAGAUUUUCGUGAGUUCUGAUGAUUGAAUACUGCCGAAGACGGUAUGCAAAUCGACGAGGAUUUUCGUGAGUUCUGAUGAUUGAAUACGGCCUAGGACUCUCCCUAAAUCAACGAAGAUGUUCGUGAGUUCUGAUUAUUGAAUGCUGCCGUAAAAAGUCGACGAAGGUGUAUGCUGCCAGAAACAAGGUUCAAGUCAUCGAGGAGGAAAACUUCUGUCAACAGACGAUGUCAAAUUUCGAUUUGAUUCCCGCAAACGUACAUAAGGAGCGUUUCCCUAACACCGACAUUUUGUUUCCCGUAAACAAAAAAGUCUACGAAAAGCGUUUCCCUAUCACGGAAGUUACACUUCAGGACCUGCAUCAAAAAAAUACACCAACAGCACAAAGUGACGAAGAUUUUCGUGAGUUCUGAUGGUUGGCUGCCAAAAUCGACGAAGAUUUUCGUGAGUUCUGAAUACUGAAUGCUGCCUAAGUUGACGAAGAGUUUCGUGAGUUCUGAUGAUUGAAUGCUCUUACGAGUCAAAGUGGUGGUUUUCUAGCUCCAAUCCAAAAAAUGCGGCGAUUUAAGACGCAGACUCCAACGGUGCAGGAAAUAAAGUCGGCGAGGAGCUCGGGAAGCUGAAGAAGUUGAAACCAACGAAGAUUUUCGUGAGUUCUGAUGAUUGCAAGCUGACAACGAAAGGUAAACAAUCGACGAAGAUUUUCGUGAGUUCUGAUAGACAUUGACAAAGAAAAGCUAACAAUCGACGAAGAUUUUCGGGAGUUCUGAUGCCGGACAUCCCUACCGUCUUGUUGUGACGACCCGUCUCUCACUGCGCCCCGAGAUCCGCGCUCCCGCUGGACCCUGCUCGCCAACCUGCCCCAACCCGGAACGCGGAACGGUUUACGUAAGAGAAUUGAAGUUAAAAUAAGGAAAACAGAAACAAACACACAGUCGGGCAGCGCACAGCAAAAAAUCGCGCUUGCGAUUGUGUCGUACCAUCGUCGCCGUGAGUUGUGAGUAGCAGCUGGAUGAUUGUGUCUCUCAAGACUUGAGCGCGGAGCGCGAGACGACGUCAAGGAGGAAGCGCGGCGGACCGUCACCACCACCAAACCGCGUGCGGCUGUAAAUGUGUAUCGAGAGUAUAGGUGAAGGCGGAAGCUCGAGAAUGAAUAAUAUACUUUUGAAUUAGCAAAUUCGCUUAUUAGCGCGCGACGGUGGACUGUUGGACCGUCGCAUUGGUGGUGGUGGCGGCGAUGUCAGACAGCAGGAAAAGAAUUGGAAUCCAGGAAGAGAAUGGACUCGAAACAAAACCAGAAGACGACCUGAACGAGGAAGCGACGGCGACGUGUGCAGAGUUACCCGUGAACAGGAUACAAGAAUGUCGGAACGGCACGGACGAACGGACAGCAGUGGUUCUUUUGUGCCGUAUCAUCCGAGAUCUGCGUCAUUCGCACGCUGGAUUCUGUUUGUCUUUCCCCGGAUUUGACACGAAAGCAGCACACACAUCUGUGUGCGGUGUUGUCGCGAGAAGUAUAAUGAUAUCAUCAUUAGGCAGUUAGAAUUUCUCGCCGAGAAGAUGAAGUGGAAAAACUAUGAAUACUAAUUGCGGUGGAGUCGCGCGAACAAGAGGAGAGACAGAAGAAGGCAAACACGGGUAGAGCGGGGGGCGGCGAAGAAUGCAGACACGGAAAUAUGAGUCGCAGUUUGCGCGCGGCUUAAAAUAACUGCUGCUCGCAAGAACCGGACUGGAAAAUUCAGAUGAUUCACGUUCUCGCUGUUGCACAUCUCGGUUUGCGCGCCAUGUUUUUAAUACCAACAGGAAGUGCACUCGCGAACGCAAGCGAGUUAAUGUGCGAGAUAAAGGUCUCGGGAGUUGAGGAAGAAGGAAACAGUUAUUCCCGGAGAAACGUAAAUCUUACGAGAAUAGCAGAGCGAUUAGCAUGUAUAAAUUCAGCGCUGGCGUGAAAUGCACAUCCGGAACGUGCCAGCGAAGCCGACGAGUUAGUCAUAAGUGCCAGCGCAUGAGACUCACGGCGCGUGGGUGGUUCCCGCUCGAAUUGGACAAGCCGUUUGCGGUGCAGAUUUUAAUCAUGUUCGGAUUAUUAUUAAUCGACCGUCGAUUUGCUGUCAAUCGAGUCAGUCGCUAGCCAAGCGAACGAAGGAAGCAUGGUACGGCACGUAACUUCUGAUUACGUUUGCGGAAAUCUACACCGUCGUUGCGACGACCAACCAGAAGGAGCUGCCGCGUACGAAUAUUUACACAACAAUCUGCGAUAAAAAUCUAUGGAAAGAGUAAACACUGAGGCACAAGAUUAGUAAACAUGCCGACAAACGAGAGCUACUCCACACAAGUGCAGAACCCGGCUUAACUUGAAUUCUACUGCCGUAGUUGUGCAGUAGUUCCACGCAUACACCGCAGCAUCGCCGCGGAGCGGACAAGGAACACAAAACAGAACGCGCCAAUAAAACCAAUCAACUGUGCGACGACUGGCGGUGACGACGGUGACUGGUUAUCCUUGGAUCGGUCGCGAUUUCCGUUAUUUUCAAGCCGAAGCAGGAACUAGCGCGCCUUUUGGAGGCACGGCACGAUACCGUUUGUAGACGGAAGCGCUUCGUGCGAGACAAGUUUAUUGAUCUAUCAAGUCGCUCGGUUUAGCGGGCGCGCGUGAGAGAAGCUUCUCUGCAAAAAAGGGGGCGAGAACGGCGCACGUGGAGUAGUGCCAACCUGUUGCACGCGAUAGGAAUGCCGAAAAUCUCGUUCCUCUAGCGAUGCAUAAGCUUGAGAGGAAUGCGACAAUUGUAGGGUUCGCCUACUGGGAUGCGCAUCAUCGUUCCAAAUUGAGGCGUUCGCGGCGUAAUGAUGACCUUUCUCGAGAACCGUUCUCCGAAAUCUGAAUAAUCGCCGGAGCUCAGCUAUUUUUUAAUGACCAUGGUCAGAGGAGGUGUUCGGGAAAGAAAGGCCCCACCAUAAUUGUAAUUGUCCGUCUCUCGGGGCUCGGGUUGAUUGGAGAAUUUCGGGCCCCGGAGCGACACAUCGGCUUAGAGACUUCUGAAAAGAUCUCAUUUUGCCACGUCUGGUUUCCACAGAAAUUCGUGACUCGAGAUUUUUUCACUUCUAUAUCGUCAUCAUCUCAUCUUCACCGGUUCAGAAUAAUCAGGAAGAAUGGGUAGUGAAGAGAGAAGAGUUAAAAGAGUUCUGCCCUUCCGAUCGUUUUUUUCUCAUCCUAGAAUGGCCCCCCGAAACACCGCCGCCGCCGCCAUCGUAGCAGGCGAAAUUUAAAUCUUAAUCCACGCGCGCGCGCGUUCUCUUUCCCGCUCUUGUCCGCCUUGUUUUUGUUGUUGUUUCCUCCUAGAGGUGUACGAAGACGCCGCGCCGCUUCCAUUUUCGCCUACUGCGAGAGGCUUGCUCGGUUGACGAGAUCUAACCUUGAAAUGUCAGUAACCUCUGGCUCCGGUUGGGGGUUUCUUGUGCCUUUUCUCCGCGCGCGCACCGGUUCUUCAGAACAGGAACUACUUCUGCUAGGAGUAGUUUGUUGGACAGGUGACUUUCAAGAUGGCGUCGACUUAUCAGCUUCUUCCCAUUACUGGUAGGGGCGAGCCGCCUUGAUUGAUCGUGUGCGCACACGGUAAACAAUAGAGAGGACUUUCCUUCUGACGUCCCGCAGGGUGAUUAGAUAUCUGUAUAAUUUAGCUUUCGGAACAAUACGGAAGCUGAUAACGGGGCACCACCGGUGGCACUGACGAUAACAAACGCGGAGAAUGGUCAAUUGACACGGGUUUUUUACGGGAUUUGGACAGAUAACAUUGUUCAGAAGCCAUGCGCAGGCUAAAGUCCGGAACUGUGUGUUGGGUAGAGUUUGGCGAGCUACUCCAAGCGAAGAGUCCCGCAAGUCAGGAACUUGUUCUGAUUGACUGUUGUUUACUCGCUGUGUUGGCUCAGAACAAGAGUACACAGACAGAGAGUGAACACAUCAUAGCGGGCAGCGCCAGGCUGAUAACAAGUUAGUUCCUGUUGUGCGAGUGUGUUGACACUGCAAUCCAAGCAGCAGGCUGCUGCGAGAGUUGGGCAAACGCAAGGAGUUGACAAAUUCAGCGCGCGCACACUUUGAUUGACUGUUGCCGUUUUUUUUCUUGGCGAUGAGUUAUUAAACAAUUGACCGCAAGUGGGUCUUGAGUGCACCAGCCGGGCCAACAUUCAAUUAAGAACAAGAGCUAUUUUUUACUGUUAGCGCGGAGUGCGGACAAAUUAACUGUUAUCAUCAGCCUGUGCUGUGAGCUGUCCGACGAUUAUGAGCGCUGUCGUCGUGUGCAGAAAGUGGAGCAUAAGACGAGAGUGCCGUAUUGCUGAUAAACGAGUUUUGCCGGACUGCAGAAGCGCGCUAAUCAGCUGAUUCGUUAACAAGUUUCACAUACAUCGCGCUUCGCGAUGUCUCAAAUUAUGCAAUCGAACACACAUCGAAGCAGGCCGUCAGCGUCUUUCCCGAGCCCUUUGGGAACAACGGGAGGCUUAUUAGUCAGCCAUAUUGGAUUGCAGAACACGAGCAGAGUGCGCGUCGGGCCGUAAUUCGAACCCGCUCCUUGGGGCGAGUUCACAUGCUGGCGUUUGGACGGAGUUGAACAUAAAAAAAAUACCCCCGAGUUGACAAUAACAACGGGUACUUGGCCGCGGGUAGCGGUUGUUCCCGACGGGUUGUGUGUGCGGAUUUGCUGGCGUCGGCGUAAAUGGUGUAAUUUUAUUAAUUGCACUAUGGCCGCACGCAAAUUUUGUGCAUUUCACACACUUUUUGGGCAACCUGGUUCCGCGACGCACCGUUGCGCUGAUGGUGCACUUUAUUUGGUCGCCGUUGGCCGCGCGAACAUACACACACACAGCGACACGCAAAAUUUAUGAAUAUUAUUUCCUUUCUGAUAGGUGCAGUUUAACGUGCACGCGUUUGACAGCUGACUGUGCGCGUUUUGCGGGUACCGGAAUUGUGCUUUUUUUUUGGGUUCCGCAACGGACCUUUGGACCUUAAAGCUGCAGCCAAAUUUGGUUGCAGUAGGCGCUGAGUUGUCUCGUUUGUUUAUGUGUCGUGGAAGUUUGUCGCACACAGCUUGUCAUAACUUAACGGAAGUUUGACUAACUGUCAAGCGAUCACGGCUAGCUUUGAUCGCGUUUAGGACGCCAUCUCCCCGCACUGUACACUAUACUACCCAGCGAAGAGAUGCCGUAGAAUCACGUGCACGGACGGUAAUUUGAGAAGUUCUUAACGGCCACUGACCUGCCCAAAUCCAGCGUGCGUGAGUGUGUGUGUGUUGCCAAAUCAAUUAUGGCUCCACUGCGGAGCCGUCUGACCACGUACAAAAAAAAAAACCUAGACGAUUAGACGACUCGUUAGGACAAUAAAUGGGCAUUACGUGGAAAGAGUUGGAAGAACUGAGAUGAAGAGAUGCUGAUGGAGAUUGAGAGCCGGUGGAAGAGCCCGGACACAAAACCUGUGCUCGCGGCUGAAGAACUUGAAAAUCAUCUUCCCUUCGCGUCCGUCCCGCUGCCGCUGCGCGGCAGGUCCGGCUUCCUAGAUCUUCGACUUCUUUGAAACUUCGCUUUUUUUCGGUUACUUUGAAACGAUUAAAAUUAUCACAAAUUUAAAUUCUUCUCUCUCUCGCGCGCGCUCGUUCUGGAGGUGAUGUUUGCGCCUUCUUAUAAACCUUCCCAUUUCGAUGGCGAUGCUGCUGCCGUGGUUGGGCUCGCUCUAGGUUCGUCGGACGCGGAACUCUGCUUCUCCGCGCGGGAACAACGACCGGUCGAACUCUGUGUUAGGGAAGAAGGGAGAGCGCGCGAAGGUGUAGACACAACUCCGGAGAAGAAAGCUUCAAAUCUAAAAGGUAAAUAACACUUUACGAGCAUCCCAUUCCUGAUACUUCUUUUGAAAAACGCUCAACGCUUGGGCACCGACUCUUGGUCUUCUUGGCGGUGUUGUUGUUCUGCGUUAGGUCGGUUGAUGUAAGGCUGAUGAUGCUGGCAAGACUAGCCGAAAAAAAACGAGGAACGUUUUACGCAGCAUGGGAUGAAAAAUCGUUCCUGAAAGAUUUCUUUCUCCGGAGUUUCGUGUUUUCGGGUUGGGCUGUUUCCUCUAAUGCUUCGGUCGUUUUUUGUUGUGUGUUGUUCGAGUUUCGAGGUUGGCUCACUCUCUACACAGGAAAACAAAGGAAGAUCUUACAUUCCAACGAUCUCUUCGUCGUUUCCCUUUGCCCUCCUCGGGUCGCUUCGUCUCGUGGUAAUCUUAGAAGAGGUCCUUUUUCCCGAAUUAUUUUUUUGUCGGCCUUUGUUAUUUUAGUUGGUGGGUCCCAAAGUGAGACAGAGAGAGAGAAUGAAGUGGGAAAAAAGCGUUCUCUAUUCAUACAAAUAGAGAACCUCUAAAUGGAUCUAGUUUUGGGUUUCCUGGGAAAAACGAGCCAACAGGAACCAAUCUGAUUUAUGGCGUUGAGCGCGCUUUGUUGUGGACUCUGGUGGUCAAAAGGGCCGAUCGUCCUCUCGAUUUGUGACAGAUUUUAUUCGACUUAGUACUUUUGAUGUACUCGUUUUUUUUGGAAUUGAACUCAAUGUUUUUCUUGCCGUUUCAUGGUGUCUGUUUCAACGGUUCCUGCUCUGUUUGAGGAGGGCAGGAAGUCAACGAAAAUAUUAUUUUAACAAACAUAACACAUUUGGCUUCGACUGAAUGGGAAGAAUAGAAGAACAUGGUCAUGAGAGUCAGGUAGGGAGUUCUAGGAAUUUGAAGGUUUGUUGGUUUGCCAAAACCUGCUGAAGUUUGUACUUCAUGGAACGCUUUUCCAGAAUUCAAGAUGGCGACCAAUGUCUGAACCUGAGUUGUUUUCCGAGAAGUCUUGAUUUGACACCAAUGCUAUGCUAUGCUAUGCAAGAUCUGUUCGCCUAUGAUCAGAUUAAACGACAAGUUCAGCCAAUUCUACCGGAUAAGAUAACCCAAAGUCUACCGACGUUCCGGCUGCUGAUUGUGACGUGAUCCGGUCAUAUAACCGGUCCACAAAACGUCAACUUUUGCGAGUAUUAAGUAUGCGCACGUUUUGCACCGAAAGUCGACAAAUUCCCAAUCGUAAAGCAAUAAACUUCGGUGGCGGAACCGUGCCGAAUCCCGGCUCCAGAUUGGUCGAGGUAGCAAAACACACUUUGCUCUUAUCGCCGUCAGAUUUGGACACGCUAAUCAAUUGUUUUGUACCGAAGAAGACGCGUCGGGAAGUUUAUUGUUCCUGGCUGCUGUUGCCGAUUUUUUGAGGUGUUUAUGACGCAAAGCGUGAAAUUUUAGAUAAGUAAUUGCGACGGCUGCGACUAAUUAAACUUUGCUCGAAGCGACUUCUGCAAAUGAGAGUUCGCUCAGUGUACUAGCGCGCAGCGCGCUUCGAGCACAAAAAUCAACGAGCUUUGUUGAAGACGCGAGAACGCAUCGUUUAACCCCUUAAAUGUUUCGCCACGAAGAAGCAAGUGUUGCCGUCGGCAAACA
Culex pipiens pallens (northern house mosquito) is the source of this 7914-nucleotide long non-coding RNA. RefSeq lists it as uncharacterized. The transcript is spliced from 8 exons. The record is from RefSeq and is a predicted model, not a curated record. Lineage: Eukaryota; Metazoa; Arthropoda; Insecta; Diptera; Culicidae.